CUACCAUGCAGUCUCUUGAUCCUUCGGGUGAAGGUGGCGGACGGGUGAGUAACGCGUAAAGAACUUGCCUUACAGACUGGGACAACAUUUGGAAACGAAUGCUAAUACCGGAUAUUAUGACUGAGUCGCAUGAUUUGGUUAUGAAAGCUAUAUGCGCUGUGAGAGAGCUUUGCGUCCCAUUAGUUAGUUGGUGAGGUAACGGCUCACCAAGACGAUGAUGGGUAGCCGGCCUGAGAGGGUGAACGGCCACAAGGGGACUGAGACACGGCCCUUACUCCUACGGGAGGCAGCAGUGGGGAAUAUUGGACAAUGGACCAAAAGUCUGAUCCAGCAAUUCUGUGUGCACGAUGAAGUUUUUCGGAAUGUAAAGUGCUUUCAGUUGGGAGGAAGUCAGUGACGGUACCAACAGAAGAAGCGACGGCUAAAUACGUGCCAGCAGCCGCGGUAAUACGUAUGUCGCAAGCGUUAUCCCGGAUUUAUUGGGCGUAAAGCGCGUCUAGGCGGUUUAGUAAGUCUGAUGUGAAAAUGCGGGGCUCAACCCCGUAUUGCGUUGGAAACUGCUAAACUAGAGUACUGGAGAGGUAGGCGGAACUACAAGUGUAGAGGUGAAAUUCGUAGAUAUUUGUAGGAAUGCCGAUGGGGAAGCCAGCCUACUGGACAGAUACUGACGCUAAAGCGCGAAAGCGUGGGUAGCAAACAGGAUUAGAUACCCUGGUAGUCCACGCCGUAAACGAUGAUUACUAGGUGUUGGGGGUCGAACCUCAGCGCCCAAGCUAACGCGAUAAGUAAUCCGCCUGGGGAGUACGUACGCAAGUAUGAAACUCAAAGGAAUUGACGGGGACCCGCACAAGCGGUGGAGCAUGUGGUUUAAUUCGACGCAACGCGAGGAACCUUACCAGCGUUUGACAUCCCAAGAAGUUAACAGAGAUGUUUUCGUGCCUCUUCGGAGGAACUUGGUGACAGGUGGUGCAUGGCUGUCGUCAGCUCGUGUCGUGAGAUGUUGGGUUUAAGUCCCGCACCGAGCGCAACCCCUUUCGUAUGUUACCAUCAUUAAGUUGGGGACUCAUGCGAGACUGCCUGCGAUGAGCAGGAGGAAGGUGGGGAUGACGUCAAGUCAUCAUGCCCCUUAUACGCUGGGCUACACACGUGCUACAAUGGGUAGUACAGAGAGCUGCAAACCUGCGAGGGUAAGCUAAUCUCAUAAAACUAUUCUUAGUUCGGAUUGUACUCUGCAACUCGAGUACAUGAAGUUGGAAUCGCUAGUAAUCGCAAAUCAGCUAUGUUGCGGUGAAUACGUUCUCGGGUCUUGUACACACCGCCCGUCACACCACGAGAGUUGGUUGCACCCUGAAGUAANCAGGCCUAACCGUAAGGAGGGAUGUUCCCGAGGGGGAUAGC
RNAcentral lists this ribosomal RNA (1398 nucleotides) under bacterium NLAE-zl-G265. Its description in RNAcentral is "bacterial SSU rRNA". It matches the Rfam family "Bacterial small subunit ribosomal RNA". The record is from RNAcentral.